GACGAACGCUGGCGGCGUGCUUAACACAUGCAAGUCGAACGGAAAGGCCCUGCUUUUGUGGGGUGCUCGAGUGGCGAACGGGUGAGUAACACGUGAGUAACCUGCCCUUGACUUUGGGAUAACUUCAGGAAACUGGGGCUAAUACCGGAUAGGAGCUCCUGCUGCAUGGUGGGGGUUGGAAAGUUUCGGCGGUUGGGGAUGGACUCGCGGCUUAUCAGCUUGUUGGUGGGGUAGUGGCUUACCAAGGCUUAGACGGGUAGCCGGCCUGAGAGGGUGACCGGCGACAUGGGGACUACGAUACGGACCAGACGCCUACGGGGGACAGCAGGCGGGAGUAUGGCACAAUGGGCGGAAGCCUGAGGCAGAAACCCCGCGUUCGGGAUGACGGCCUUCGGGGUGUAAACCGCUUUCGCCUGUGACGAAGCGUGAGUGACGGUAAUGGGUAAAGAAGCACCGGCUAACUACGUG
Molecule: ribosomal RNA, 468 nt
Filed under: uncultured bacterium
Lineage: Bacteria
Description: partial 16S ribosomal RNA
Rfam family: Bacterial small subunit ribosomal RNA
Source: RNAcentral